This 459-nucleotide ribosomal RNA is filed under the name uncultured bacterium. RNAcentral describes it as "partial 16S ribosomal RNA". It matches the Rfam family "Bacterial small subunit ribosomal RNA", at positions 338 to 794 of the family's 1533-position model. The record is from RNAcentral.
CCUACGGGCGGCUGCAGUGAGGAAUAUUGGUCAAUGGACGAAAGUCUGAACCAGCCAAGUAGCGUGAAGGAUGACUGCCCUAUGGGUUGUAAACUUCUUUUAUAAAGGAAUAAAACGAGGCACGUGUGCCUUUUUGCAUGUACUUUAUGAAUAAGGAUCGGCUAACUCCGUGCCAGCAGCCGCGGUAAUACGGAGGAUCCGAGCGUUAUCCGGAUUUAUUGGGUUUAAAGGGAGCGUAGAUGGGGUGUUAAGUCAGUUGUGAAAGUUUGCGGCUCAACCGUAAAAUUGCAAUUGAUACUGGCAGUCGUGAGUACAGUUGAGGUAGGCGGAAUUCGUGGUGUAGCGGUGAAAUGCUUAGAUAUCACGAAGAACCCCGAUUGCGAAGGCAGCUUACUAAACUGUGACUGACAUUGAUGCUCGAAAGUGUGGGUAUCAAACAGGAUUAGAUACCCGGGUAGC